RNAcentral lists this transfer RNA (67 nucleotides) under Plica plica (tree runner). Its description in RNAcentral is "tRNA-Pro". It matches the Rfam family "tRNA". From Rfam's summary of the family: Transfer RNA (tRNA) molecules are approximately 80 nucleotides in length. Their secondary structure includes four short double-helical elements and three loops (D, anti-codon, and T loops). The record is from RNAcentral. Lineage: Eukaryota; Metazoa; Chordata; Lepidosauria; Squamata; Tropiduridae.
CAAAAAAUAGUUUAUUUAAAACGCCAGUUUUGGGGACUGGAAAUGGAGGUGUGACUUUCUUUUUUGA